Molecule: long non-coding RNA, 930 nt
Organism: Cyprinus carpio carpio
Lineage: Eukaryota; Metazoa; Chordata; Actinopteri; Cypriniformes; Cyprinidae
Source: Ensembl
GCGUAUUUAAAAGUGAGGAAAGCGUUUUGUAUGAAAUCCAUAGGCCUACAAGCGCAGUAAGUUAGUCCCUCACAGGGCUCGCACGUAAAUCGGCGGGAAAUAGCGAGUGAGUUGUGUGUGGAAAGUCUGCUGUAUUUUAGAAAUACUCGUCAGAAAAAGCAACUGAGAUUUCACAAGAUUUCUGUAUCCUGUAUCCUGAUGCAGCGAGGAAACUGUUUGAAAACUGGACCACGAUAAGUGAAAGAAUUCUUCCAUAUGCCCAGCAAGAGGGUAAACUGCCCUCAGUACUGGGUGACAUGACACCAGCUGCUAAAGAGGAGACAGCUUUGAAGGUCCUGCCAACUCUGCUUCCCCCAUCCAUCUACAGGAGAGGAGGAAAGGUCUUCAGACCCACCACAGAGGAGGCCCAGAAGUCAUUUAUUGACAUGCAACCUGUUGGGACCAACAUGGUUGAAUAUUUAAACCAUGAGAUGACUGGAGCAUUGCUGCACAUUCUUGCCUCAGUGAUGAGACAAGGGGGACAUCACAGACCUUUGCCAUUAUUCCAGGCCACGCCAUUGAGACUGUGUCUUUGUUGGAGGCGGUUGAUCUUUGCUUUAAAGCUUUUUUUGUUUUUGAUGUUCAGUACACCAAGCAGUGUCUCCCCACCUGGGAGUUUCUCCAGCAUGCUGUAUAUCAAAUUGAAGGAAAAGAGUCCUCCUCUGUAAAGUUUUUGAGGACAACAGUGGUUUCAGGCCCACAUGAUAUGUAGAUGAUUUUAAAAUGUAUUUUGUUGCUGUUCUUAAAUCAACACAUCUUAAUAAAUUAAAUUGUAAUCGUAUGAGAGUUCAAAUUAGUUGUUUAAUGACUUUUAAUGCCUGAAUAUUUGGACAGAUUUACAUUUGUUAUAAAGUCUGUGGGGAAGGGUGAAUGUCAGAGGGUGUGUGGGUG